GGGGACUUCACCGUGCAGCAGUAGGAGAAGUCAGUCAUCGACUAACGGGAAGUUUGAGCGAGUGAAGCUUUUAAAUAGAUGUGUGAAUUUCAACAUUUCACGGCACAUUAAUAUGGUUCCUUAACUGAUGUUUAGAAUGAACUCCCAAUUCCCGUUGAGAGGCAGGUAAAACAUUCUGUGCCCCUCAACUCACACCUUAAUUGCUCUAGAAUUUUUAGGGUGUGAUUUUUGGACUGAAGUUAAAGUAAAAAAAAACACAGUAAAUGCCACCAGAAACCCAAUAAAAUCGAUGAAAAACUACACACAACAAACCACUGAAGCAACACACACAAAAUGCUGGAGGAACUCAGCAGGUCAGGCAACAUCCAUGGAAAUGAACAGUCGACGUUUCGGGCCGAGACCCUUCUUCUGGACUGUGAAGGAAGGGGGAAGACGCCAGAAUAAGAAGAUGAGGGAAGGGGAAGGAGGUUAGCUGGAAGGUGAAGCCAGGCGGAUGGGAAAGUGGAUGCCUACAAGAAAAUGAAUAUCGGGAUUGUAUAUGGUGACAUGUACAGUAUGUACUUUGAUAAUAAAUUUACUUUGAACUUUGAAC
Long non-coding RNA from Mobula hypostoma (lesser devil ray), 592 nucleotides. RefSeq lists it as uncharacterized. The transcript is spliced from 3 exons. NCBI's taxonomy places the organism in Eukaryota, Metazoa, Chordata, Chondrichthyes, Myliobatiformes, Myliobatidae. The record is from RefSeq and is a predicted model, not a curated record.